GAUUCAUUUGAAUGAUAC
RNAcentral lists this small nuclear RNA (18 nucleotides) under Arabidopsis thaliana (thale cress). RNAcentral describes it as "snRNA_05581". The record is from RNAcentral. Lineage: Eukaryota; Viridiplantae; Streptophyta; Magnoliopsida; Brassicales; Brassicaceae.